GCCGGGCGUUGUGGCGGGCGCCUGUGGUCCCAGCUACUUGGGAGGCAGAGGCAGGAGACUCGCUUGAGCCCAGGAGUUGGAGGUUGCUGUGAGCUGUAAUGCCACGGCACUCUGCCCAGGGGGACAGCUUGAGGCUCUGUCUCAAAAAAAAAAAAAAAACUUAUUUUACUUUUGGUAAAUGGUAUCCAACUCUCUCACCACAUACCAAUAUCUUUUUUUUUUUGAGACAGAGCCUCAAGCUAUCCCCCUGGGCAGUGUGCCGUGGCACCACAGCAGCCUCCAACUCCUGGGCUCAAGCGAGUCUCCUGCCUCAG
Otolemur garnettii (small-eared galago) is the source of this 314-nucleotide non-coding RNA. NCBI's taxonomy places the organism in Eukaryota, Metazoa, Chordata, Mammalia, Primates, Galagidae. The record is from Rfam.